RNAcentral lists this ribosomal RNA (229 nucleotides) under uncultured bacterium. RNAcentral describes it as "partial 16S ribosomal RNA". It matches the Rfam family "Bacterial small subunit ribosomal RNA", at positions 568 to 796 of the family's 1533-position model. The record is from RNAcentral.
UGCGCAGGUGGGCUUGUAAGUCAGUGAUGAAAUACUGCCGCUUAACGGUAGAACUGCCAUUGAUACUGCGAGUCUUGAGUAUGGUUGAGGUAGGCGGAAUGUGUUGUGUAGCGGUGAAAUGCAUAGAUAUGGCACAGAACGCCGAUUGCGAAGGCAGCUUACUAAGCCAUUACUGACGCUGAGGCACGAAAGCGUGGGGAGCGAACAGGAUUAGAUACCCUGGUAGUCC